This 1785-nucleotide long non-coding RNA is filed under the name Sorghum bicolor (sorghum). RNAcentral describes it as "long non-coding RNA (SBIC_LNC011313)". Lineage: Eukaryota; Viridiplantae; Streptophyta; Magnoliopsida; Poales; Poaceae. The record is from RNAcentral.
GCAAACGCACGCAACCCUCAGGCCUCAGCUCGCCACCACACACACAGAACGCGUGUGCUCCUGCCUUCCUGAUCGAGCAACGAGCUAGCUACCUAGCUUGAGGACGACACGACACGAUGGCCUUGCAGGUCACCGGCGGAGUGGGCUGCUGCUGCCCUCGUCCUCAACCGGGCUGUGGCGGCCGGCGGUUGGCGCAGGCGGCGGCGGCGCUCUGUCGCCCGCCCCGCGCUGUAGCGUCGUCCGGCACGACCACGACGGUGGUGGAGGAGGACGAGGGCAAGGUGAGGCUGGGCGGCUCAAGCGUCGCCGUCACCAAGCUCGGCAUCGGCGCGUGGUCCUGGGGCGACACCACCUACUGGAACGACUCCGAGUGGGACGGUACGUACGUGGGAAUUCACCUCCGGCCUGUUGCGCGCUCCUGUGUUUCUUGUUCUCGUUCUCAUUCUUGCUCGGGGGUGCGGACGUCAACGACGUUUCCUGAAAUCCUGGUCAUAAUAUGGGCGGCGCCAGGGGUAUGCCCCUAUAUUCCAUGGAAUACCAUGAUUUGACAAACACACACAUGUAUAAUCAGCAUGUAUGUUAGUUUGUUGAAUAUUGUAAAUAUGUAGUCCAUAAAAGCAACUCCAAUAGUCUGGCUAGAAUUAAUUGUCAAAUUCUAUUGUUUAGCUAUUUUGUCGAAUAGAAAAAUUCUAAAAAAAUAAGAGAUCUACAACAAUCUUGUUAUUUUACAAAGUCUUACAGUUAGCGUCUGUAAUAAGCUAUAUAUAGCCACCGAAAAUAAAGAGAAAGCCAACUUCCUAUUUUAUAAAAUUAGAUAGCAUAUUUUUAGUUGGAGUCUACUUUUUGCUAUACAAAUUCUGAAAUAGCAUAAACAACAAGAAUAGUUAAACUCUUGAAGUUGCUCUAAGCCUAGUAGAACAACUAGUAGCGGCAGCCCAUGAACUCAUCAGAAAGAAACCCAUCGACGGCAUUCCUCUAGCGGCGGCGGUCAGUGGUCUCUAUAGGCUUUCUCAUAUACAGCUCCCCCUCAACGUCUUUCUCACAUAGGGCCUUUCUCAUAUACGGUUUGAAGCAACAACAAGGUGACCACAAAGAUCCCAUAUCUAUUUUUUAUUCUUCAAAGUAAGAAUUGAAGGUUUCGUUUUCUUCUUUUUUUGUUGCGUUGUGAUUUUUUAAAGAAAUAUUGCAUUGUGUUCUUGUAACAUAGAUAAAGAAUUUAUAUAUACUUUGUUUAUUACCAGGGGCGACACUAGGCUCACUUUGCCUGAUGCCAGCGACGGAGCCAACGGUGGGGCUGGUGGGGCUCCAGCCCCCCUAUGGCCGUAGAACCCAUGUAGGCCCCCCUUAGCCCCUCCUACAAAUUUUUAUCAUUGAUACUCUUAAAGAAGGGGCUGAAAUUAUCUUAAGGUAGCAGAAGCCUCUCCUAAAUAUUUUUCUAGAUUCGUCACUGCCUGAUGCCUUGUUACUAGGAUAAAUAAAUAUUUUGUCUAGCAUAUAUUUUAAGAAAAUUAUAUGUACUACUUGAGCUGUGCACCAGAAUCAAUUCUGUAUUGAUUUUGUCCCCUAUUACUAUUGCACAUAUGCGUUGAAAAUUUUUUAUACAUGGAAUAGCCAGCUGUGAAAUCCUGGCUCCGCCACUCCACAUGCCUUCCCGUGCGCACAAUAAUCUGCCCGUUGCAUUGCCAGCAAUGAAUCGUACGUGCAUGUUGUGUGUGUAACUUGCACGCAUGAUGUGUCAGCACUUCAAGGAAAACGAAAUUGGCAUGCUCUCCAAUCCCUUGUCUU